Molecule: ribosomal RNA, 274 nt
Filed under: uncultured bacterium
Lineage: Bacteria
Description: partial 16S ribosomal RNA
Rfam family: Bacterial small subunit ribosomal RNA
Source: RNAcentral
AUACGGAGGGAACUAGCGUUGUUGGGAAUUACUGGGCGUAAAGAGUUCGUAGGCGGAUAAGCAAGUAAGAGGUGAAAGCCCAGGGCUCAACCCUGGAACUGCCUUUUAAACUGCUUAUCUAGAGACCGGUAGAGGUUAGGGGAAUACCUAGUGUAGAGGUGAAAUUCGUAGAUAUUAGGUGGAACACCAGUGGCGAAGGCGCCUAACUGGACCGGUACUGACGCUGAGGAACGAAAGCGUGGGGAGCAAACAGGAUUAGAAACCCUAGUAGUCC